UUAUUUAAAAAUAUUAUCUAUUUAAAUACAUUAUAAAGCUUGAAGUGAUAUAAUAUUUCAACAAAUGUUAUAAUGGUCCUUUGUAGAUAAUUAUAAUAUAACAAAAACGCAAUAAUAAUCUGUCAACUGAUAUCAUUACUUUUUAGCAGUUGACAAACAGGGUGAUUUUUAAAUAGGAUGGAUAUACAUAAAUAUAUGAUUAUGUAUGUUUGUAUGCUAUGUUAAAAAGUAUUGUUAAAAUGGCGACCGAAAAUAAAUUAUAUCCGCAUAAUUAAAAAACGAUCAGUAUUAGAAGUUGAUUGGAAGCUCGAUAAUGCGUGCGAAAAGGUUCCUAUGCCAAAAAAUGAGGAAUAAUAUAAAUGUCAAAGUACAUAUGAUAUAUUUAUGACAAACAAAGAUUUUAAUUAAAAAAAUGUUGUAAAUUGAAGUAUGCACAUUAAAAAUAUUAAUUAUAAAAUAUCAAUAAUACGAUAUAUAUAUAUAUAUAUAUAUAUAUAUACAUACAUACACAUAUAUAUCGUCAUUAUCGAUUUAAAUAUGGUGAAACUAAAAACAAAUGUGUCCUUUAUCAAAGAUAAUAAGCCAAGAUUACGUAUUAAUCAAAAUAUAGUAAUAAAAAUAGGAUAUUGAUGUAAUGAUAUUAAUAACGCGUACUUUUAAGAUAAUUUUAAUAAGCAAAUUAAUUGAGAAAGUGAGCAACGUGACAUAGACACAUAGUGACAUAGAUGUAAAUAUCGUGAAGCGUUUUUUGCUAAGCUGUUAUACGGUACCAAACGAAUUUAAUAUAUUCUGUACAGAUUGUUUCUCAGGAUAGUUGUUACACAACUUGAAUAUUUCUUACUGUAUUUAUAGAAAAAAUUUUUCAGAACUAAAAAACAUAUAUUGUAUAUUGUUUAAUCUCAAACUUUUUUAACGCAAUUUAUUUUUUGUAUAGUUAAGAUAUUGUAAUUAAUAUGUAUAAUAAUAUUUGAGUAAAUUUUUAAGAUAUUUAUUUUUGAUAAAUGAUAGGAUUAAUGACAUUUUCUGAAAGUACAGUGUGAAAUUUUCAAGUUAUUUUUGGGAGCAUUCUAAUUAUGUCAUCUAUGUUAUAAGAAUGCACGGUUCCUUGAUUGUAGGAACAAUCAUACACUGAGCAAAUAUUAAGUAUGCAUAUGAUAAUGUUGUACUUUUUAUCUAUUGAAUCUCCGAAUUUAAUUUUUUUGUUUUUUCAUAAGUCUCGUCAUAUAUCUUGUCAAAUAAUAUUUUUGUUACCAUUUGCAAUAUUUUCUUUCUCUCUAUCUUACUAGCAUAUUUUUUUUCGUUUCAUUUUUAUUACAGUAUACGAUUCUAUUCGUUUACUUUCAUGCGACCAACUAUCCUAAUUAUUAUCGCGAGUCUGUAAACAUAUAAGAAUAAUACAAACUAACAUUUAUAUAUAUAUAUUUAUAUAGAUUUACGUAAAUAGAGAUAUAUAUAUUAUAUAUAUAAUAAAUGUAUAUAAUAUAUACUAUGUAUACAUAAUGAAUGUAUAAUUUCUCGGUUGUACAGAUCUGAGCGUUAUCUUCAAAAUGUUCUAUUUUAUAUAUAAUUAUUACAUUGCAUUCAAUGUAAGCGAUAUCUUCCAAUGCCGGCAUUGCAUCAUCGCGUUAACAAAACAUUUGUAACAUUAUGAGCUACCAUCAUUUAUAAAAGUGAAAAUGAAAAGGUUGUGAAGUCCGAGUGUCGGCAUCCUUAGAAGGAUUCGUCAGCUUCAUGAAUUUAUUUGUAAUAUGGAGAAGAAUAUGAGGUUGUGCUAAUGAAAAUUAAUAAAUUGUAUUGAGAAAGCUUUAAUAAACAUGUGUAAAAUUGGGUUUCACUUGAUGAGUUUUCAUUGUCGUUAAAUAAGUGAAAGAUUUUAUUUCAUUAAAUAUAAUAUUAUGAAUAUAAUAUGUAAUAUAUGUUAUAUAUGGUAAUAUUAUGUUACUAUAGUAACCAAGUAUAUACCAACAAAUAUCCGGACUUCAAGGUUUGAUUAAGCACGCGAUCGAAUUUGUAUGAAAUGAAAUGUGAAAUAUAUGAAAUAUAUUUACACAUUUUUUAAUGUUAAAUAUAUAGAUUUAUAUAGAUUUUAUAUAAAAUUGUGAACGUUUUUACAUAUAUAUUUAUACAUAAAUUAAAAUAAUAAAUAAACAUAUAAUGAGAUUUAAAAUUUCUGCACAAAAUCGUAAUGGUCACAAGCGUUUAGUAACUUGUGUUGCAUGGAAUUCAACAGAAGAAAUUUAUUCUUGCGGAGAAGAUCAUUUAUUAAUAUCAUGGCAUUUGGAAGGUGGAAUUGCACAUUCCAAUAUUAUUACAGAAUUUCCUGAUGAUUUUUAUCCGACCGAUAUGCAAUGGCAUCCGCGACCAAAUUAUGCAGUGUUAAUUACAAAAAAACAAUCAUUGGAUAUUCUCUUAAUUACUACAGCUGAUGGAAAAUUUCAUUUAAUUAAUAAAAAUGGACGUAUAGAAAAAAGUGUAGAUGCUCAUAAAGGAGCAACAACAGUAGGUAGAUGGAGUAAUGAUGGCUCUGCUCUUUUGACUGCUGGAGAGGAUGGUUUGAUAAAAGUAUGGUCACGUAGUGGCAUGCUUCGUUCUAUUAUAGUUAAAGGAAUGUUUUCCAUAUUAUCUGCUGCUUGGAAUUUAGAUUGUACAACAGUAUUAUAUUCUCAAGGAGCUCACUUAACUUUUCAAUCACUUAAUUCUAAUUCCAAACCUCGAAAGUUAUUAGCACAUGAUGGUCUAAUUUUGGUUUUAUGUUGGAAUCACACUCAUGGAUUAAUCAUUUCUGGUGGGGAAGAUUGUAAAUAUAAGGUAUGGGAUUCUAAUGGUACUCAAUUAUUUUCUAGUAAUGUAGAGGAUCAUCCUAUUACAGCAUUAAGUUGGAGUUAUUCUGGAGAUUACUUUGCAGUUGGAUUAUUUAAUACAAUCAAACUUUGUGAUAAAACAGGAUGGUCUCAUUCAUUAGAAAAAAUUAAUUCUGGAAGCAUAUAUAGUAUUGCUUGGUCAAGUGAUAGUACUCAAGUAGCUAUGGCUUGCAGUAAUGGAAAUGUAUUAACAGGACAUAUAAUAGACAGGAGAUUGGAGUGGAAUAAUUAUGAAGCCACAUUGAUUAAAAGAAAAGUGAUUGAAAUCAGAGAUGUGGGUAAUGAAACACGAGAAGAAUUAGAGAUAUCAGAUCGUGUAGUUCAGCUGGAAUUUGGUUUUGAUUAUUUAGUUGUAAUUACACCAGCACAAUGUCAUGUUUAUUCGGUAAUAAACUGGAAUACUCCUGCCAUAUUUGAUUUGAAAAAUACUAGUGUAUCAGCAAUACUUCUUGCGGAAAAGCAUUUUUUAUUGAUUGAAUGGAAUUCUGUAUCAUUAUAUAGUUAUCAAGGUCGUUUAUUAGGAACUCCAAAAUGGAAAGGAAUGACACAGGAACGACUUUAUUCCCCUUGUAUAUCAGUAUGUUCCGAUACUUUAGUUAUACGAUCGCAAAGUAACGAAAAACUACUUCAUGUAUUGGAAAUGGCUUAUAAUAAACCUAUAACAGAAAGCCAGACUUAUACACAUCUUCAAAAUAUUACAAGAGUUGCAUUAAAUCACAUUGGCGGUGUAAUAGAUCGACAAGUAGCACUAAUCGAUAUAAAUAAAGAUUUAUUUCUUGUUUCUAUAAGAACCACUGGUUUUGGUAGAGUAUGUAAAAUAGCUGCUAUGGCGCAAGAUAUUGCAUGGGCUACUGAUGCAAAUGUUUUAGCAGCGAUGUUAGAUGCAACAUUAUCUGUAUGGUUGUGUCCUAAUUGUGUACAUUAUAGCGAUCGUAAAAUUAUACGAAAGACAAGAAUCGAUAAAGAAAGCAGUGAAUUUGGUAAACAACCAAGUAUAGCAAAUGUUUAUAAUGGGAUAGUAAUGAUACGACGUGGUGAUGGAGCAUUAGUAGCUUCUUCCUUUUAUACAUUUUUUAUUAGUCUUUAUCAACAUAUUUUAAACAAGAAAUGGAAAGAAGCGUUAUCGCUUUGUCGAAUCGCUCAGAAUGAAAUAUUAUGGACUUGCAUGGCCGUUAUAGCAACUGAUAAUAAAGAAUUAAACGCUGCAGAAGAAGCAUAUGCAGCAAUUUCUCGAUAUGAUAAAGUUGAUUAUAUUCAAUAUAUAAAGAGUUUACCAAAUAAAACAGAAAGACUAGCAGAAAUGGCACUUUUAUCAGGAGAUUUGUUAACUGCAGAAGGUAUACUUUUGCAAAAUGGAUUAAUAGAGGAAGCUAUACGAAUUAAUAUCGAAAUAUACAAUUGGAAUAGGUACUUUCUUUAAUAUAAACAAAAUUUUUAAUAAAUAAUGUUUUUUUUUUAAUUUAUCAAUUAUUAAUUUAGAGCAUUAGAAUUGGCAAUUAGACAUAAAAAGCAAUUGGAUGAAGUAUUAAACACAAGAAAAAAAUAUCUUCAAAUAAUUAAUAAAAAAGAAACGAAUCAAAGUUUUCUUGCAUAUAUGGCAAAUGUUGCAAAGACACAAUGAGACCAAAACUAUUUUCACCAGGAGAUUAUCGAGGAUAUUUCAUUUAAACGAGAUGAAGAAUUAUUAGAAAUAGAAACACAAAAAAACGAAAUGUUUGAUCAAGAAAUACAUAUAUGAAAGCGUAACGGUAUUUU
RNA transcript from Apis laboriosa (Himalayan honeybee), 4616 nucleotides. It is a transcript of the gene named intraflagellar transport protein 80 homolog, with no coding region annotated. The transcript has 15 exons. The record is from RefSeq and is a predicted model, not a curated record. NCBI's taxonomy places the organism in Eukaryota, Metazoa, Arthropoda, Insecta, Hymenoptera, Apidae.